Molecule: ribosomal RNA, 314 nt
Filed under: Leptopholcus sp. DNA100446446
Lineage: Eukaryota; Metazoa; Arthropoda; Arachnida; Araneae; Pholcidae
Description: partial 12S ribosomal RNA
Source: RNAcentral
GAUAUAAUACAUUAGGUAGUAAUAAACCAAUAUAUAAUGGCGGUUCUUGAUUAUUAAAAAAACUCGCCCUAUAAUCGAAACCACUCGUUAAAUUUUACCAAAACCAACAGCCUAUAUACCGCCGCUAAAAGAAUUCUUAUUAAUUAAUCUUCUAACUUAUAAUAAAAUAAAAAUCAGGUCAAGGUGUAGCCUAUGUUUUGGAAGGGGUAAGCAAAAAUGAAUAAAUCAACAUAACUAAGACGUAAAUCAAAUUAAAAUAAAUUUAUACGUACAAAUAUAUCAAAAAUUUAUAUAGAAAUACCCCUCAAGAAUGC